This 465-nucleotide ribosomal RNA is filed under the name uncultured bacterium. Its description in RNAcentral is "partial 16S ribosomal RNA". It matches the Rfam family "Bacterial small subunit ribosomal RNA", at positions 28 to 507 of the family's 1533-position model. The record is from RNAcentral.
GACGAACGCUGGCGGCGUGCUUAACACAUGCAAGUCGAACGGAAAGGCCCUGCUUGCGGGGUACUCGAGUGGCGAACGGGUGAGUAACACGUGGGUGAUCUGCCCUGCACUUCGGGAUAAGCUUGGGAAACUGGGUCUAAUACCGGAUAGGAACCAUCUUUAGUGUGGUGGUUGGAAAGUUUUUUCGGUGUAGGAUGAGCUCACGGCCUAUCAGCUUGGUGGUGGGGUAAUGGCCUACCAAGGCGGCGACGGGCAGCCGGCCUGAGGGGGUGGACGGCCACCAUUGGACUGGGAUACGGCCCAGACCCCUACGGGAGGCAGGAGUGGGGAAUAUUGCACAAUGGGGGCAAGCCUGAUGCAGCGACGCCGCGGGGGGGAUGAAGGCCUUCGGGUUGUAAACUCGCUUCGGUAGGGACGAAGCUUUUUGUGACGGUACCUAGAUAAGAAGCACCGGCUAACUACGUG